Molecule: non-coding RNA, 580 nt
Organism: Callorhinus ursinus (northern fur seal)
Lineage: Eukaryota; Metazoa; Chordata; Mammalia; Carnivora; Otariidae
Source: RefSeq, a predicted model, not a curated record
GCUCAGAUGGAAUGGCCCUCCAAGUGCCUCUCAUCUUCCUCCCAGGACCAGAGGGCUUGCUGGUGCACCUUCUUCUCUAGGCAAGAGCAAAGUGGAAGAGGAAACACUCAAAGCCUCCUAAGUCCAGAGCUUGCAAACGGAUGGUGGUUUGACUUGUAAAGAGAUAAAGUCUGUAAAAAUAAAGCAGAGAAGACCUUCUUCAGGUAUCUCAAGGAAAAAUUUGAGUUGUCUGGAUAAACUGGUAACUAUCUUUGCACCUGAAAUCAAAGGCUGUGUCUCUUGGUGGUGAUGGUGCCUAUGAAGUAGUCUGAGAAGGAAGAAAGGAAGCUCAGGAGCUGCACCAGCUCCUCUGCUCCAGGUUGGCUUCUUCGUGUCAGAGUUGCUACACAAAUUUUGGAGGUAUAAAGAAACAUUCUCUACUGUAGCAAUAGAAGAGGAAGCCAUAGCGUGGCAAAACUUGAAAGCUUUCUUUCCUACUCCAUCCCUUCCUGAGGAACCUCUUGAAUCAGUUCAAGCAAAUUCAAUUAAUUAAAAUUUGAGUAACAAAAAAUGGGGUGUACUUUCAAUAAAGAUAGAGUUA